RNAcentral lists this ribosomal RNA (504 nucleotides) under uncultured bacterium. RNAcentral describes it as "partial 16S ribosomal RNA". It matches the Rfam family "Bacterial small subunit ribosomal RNA", at positions 29 to 523 of the family's 1533-position model. The record is from RNAcentral.
AUUGAACGCUGGCGGCAGGCCUAACACAUGCAAGUCGAACGGUAGCACAGAGAGCUUGCUCUCGGGUGACGAGUGGCGGACGGGUGAGUAACGUCUGGGAAACUGCCCGAUGGAGGGGGAUAACUACUGGAAACGGUAGCUAAUACCGCAUAACGUCGCAAGACCAAAGUGGGGGACCUUCGGGCCUCACACCAUCGGAUGUGCCCAGAUGGGAUUAGCUAGUAGGUGGGGUAAUGGCUCACCUAGGCGACGAUCCCUAGCUGGUCUGAGAGGAUGACCGGCCACACUGGAAAUGAGACGCGGUCCAGACUCCUACGGGAGGCAGCAGUGGGGAAUAUUGCACAAUGGGCGCAAGCCUGAUGCAGCCAUGCCGCGUGUAUGAAGAAGGCCUUCGGGUUGUAAAGUACUUUCAGCGGGGAGGAAGGCGGUGAAGUUAACAGCUUCACCGAUUGACGUUACCCGCAGAAGAAGCACCGGCUAACUCCGUACCAGCCGCCGCGGUAA